RNAcentral lists this unclassified non-coding RNA (283 nucleotides) under Hevea brasiliensis (rubber tree). The record is from RNAcentral. Lineage: Eukaryota; Viridiplantae; Streptophyta; Magnoliopsida; Malpighiales; Euphorbiaceae.
AUAGGAGUCGGGGUUUGGGUUCAGCUCACUUCACCUUUUGCCCUUUGUGGUAUCAACGCUCCUCAUUUCUCAACUCCUCAGCUAAAUAAUCAAACAAAUAUACGUUUGAAUUUGGAGAAAUCCGGUUGUGGAAUCGGAAGCAAUAGAGGAUGGGUUCGGCGAUGAAAGCAAUCUACACCGUUGGAUUCUGGAUCCGUGAGACAGGCCAAGCCCUUGAUCGGUUGGGCUGCCGCCUCCAGGGAAACUAUUACUUCCAAGAACACCUCUCGAGGCAUAGAACUUU